CUGACGAGUGGCGGACGGGUGAGUAAUGUCUGGGAAACUGCCCGGUGGAGGGGGAUAACUACUGGAAACGGUAGCUAAUACCGUAUAACGUCGCAAGACCAAAGAGGGGGACCUUCGGGCCUCUUGCCACCGGAUGUGCCCAGAUGGGAUUAGCUUGUUGGUGAGGUAACGGCUCACCAAGGCGACGAUCCCUAGCUGGUCUGAGAGGAUGACCAGCCACACUGGAACUGAGACACGGUCCAGACUCCUACGGAAGGCAGCAG
This 263-nucleotide ribosomal RNA is filed under the name uncultured bacterium. Its description in RNAcentral is "partial 16S ribosomal RNA". It matches the Rfam family "Bacterial small subunit ribosomal RNA", at positions 88 to 354 of the family's 1533-position model. The record is from RNAcentral.